Molecule: long non-coding RNA, 414 nt
Filed under: Mytilus galloprovincialis (Mediterranean mussel)
Lineage: Eukaryota; Metazoa; Mollusca; Bivalvia; Mytilida; Mytilidae
Source: RNAcentral
UAUUUCAUAAACAAAAUAUUCAUAUGUUAAACCAUAGCACAAACAAGCUAAGCACUAUCCAUCAAAUCCUUUUGCUUGGUUUUCUUAAUGCAGAAUUCAGAAUUCAAGUUUUAAUUUGAAACAAAUCUUAAAAUGUUCAUUAUAAUGUGAUAAAAAUGCAACCUAAUCGCUGUAAACAGUUGGAUCAUAUAGUUCAAAGUGAAGAUUAAUUAAGCGUGACCAUAUACACAAUCAUACAAUAAUAAUACAAAUACGAUUUUAAUCAAAAAUAUAUAAUAUAUGAUGUAAUAUGGCAAGCCGCUUUACUAUUUAUUCAAACUUCAUAAUAUCUAAUAUACAGUCGUUUAUGAGGUAUCUAAAAAAUAUAUGAAACAUCAUAUAAAGAAGAUAUGAUAUCUAUUUAUCUUGAUAAUA